Pan troglodytes (chimpanzee) is the source of this 2825-nucleotide RNA transcript. It is a transcript of the gene named histone deacetylase 10, with no coding region annotated. The record is from RefSeq and is a predicted model, not a curated record. NCBI's taxonomy places the organism in Eukaryota, Metazoa, Chordata, Mammalia, Primates, Hominidae. The transcript is spliced from 20 exons.
GGAGCCGCAGCGCAGCUCCGAGGGCUGGCGGCUCGGGGCGCCGAGGCUUCCGCGCCCGCUGGUUCCUCGCUCCGGGGCGGAGCUCGCCAUAGCGACCGGGAGCAGGGCGCGGGGCGGGACCCAGGUCCGAGGCGAGGAAGCCGGAAGCCAGGCGCGGGGAGCCUCCCCCUUCGACUGCAGCCUCGCUCCGUGCCUUCUGCGCGCCUGGGAUCCCGGAGCCUGCCUAGGUUCUGUGCGCUCCCGCCCACGCCGGUGCCCGCCGCCCGCCUGCGCCCCAGGCAGGUCCCAGGCCUCCGGCUGCUCCCGGCCGAAGGUGGGGACGGGCAGUGGCAGGCACCGCUAGCGAGGGCGUUUGGGAACCCAGGGUGACCACGGCGCAGCCAUGGGGACCGCGCUUGUGUACCAUGAGGACAUGACGGCCACCCGGCUGCUCUGGGACGACCCCGAGUGCGAGAUCGAGCGUCCUGAGCGCCUGACCGCAGCCCUGGAUCGCCUGCGGCAGCGCGGCCUGGAACAGAGGUGUCUGCGGUUGUCAGCUCGCGAGGCCUCGGAAGAGGAGCUGGGCCUGGUGCACAGCCCAGAGUAUGUAUCCCUGGUCAGGGAGACCCAGGUCCUAGGCAAGGAGGAGCUGCAGGCGCUGUCCGGACAGUUCGACGCCAUCUACUUCCACCCGAGUACCUUUCACUGCGCGCGGCUGGCCGCAGGGGCUGGACUGCAGCUGGUGGACGCUGUGCUCACUGGAGCUGUGCAAAAUGGGCUUGCCCUGGUGAGGCCUCCCGGGCACCACAGCCAGAGGGCGGCUGCCAACGGGUUCUGCGUGUUCAACAACGUGGCCAUAGCAGCUGCACAUGCCAAGCAGAAACACGGGCUACACAGGAUCCUCGUCGUGGACUGGGAUGUGCACCAUGGCCAGGGGAUCCAGUAUCUCUUUGAGGAUGACCCCAGCGUCCUUUACUUCUCCUGGCACCGCUAUGAGCAUGGGCGCUUCUGGCCUUUCCUGCGUGAGUCAGAUGCAGACGCAGUGGGGCGGGGACAGGGCCUCGGCUUCACUGUCAACCUGCCCUGGAACCAGGUCGGGAUGGGAAACGCUGACUACGUGGCUGCCUUCCUGCACCUGCUGCUUCCACUGGCCUUUGAGUUUGACCCUGAGCUGGUGCUGGUCUCGGCAGGAUUUGACUCAGCCAUCGGGGACCCUGAGGGGCAAAUGCAGGCCACGCCAGAGUGCUUCGCCCACCUCACACAGCUGCUGCAGGUGCUGGCCGGCGGCCGGGUCUGCGCCGUGCUGGAGGGCGGCUACCACCUGGAGUCACUGGCGGAGUCAGUGUGCAUGACAGUACAGACGCUGCUGGGUGACCCGGCCCCACCCCUGUCAGGGCCAAUGGUGCCAUGUCAGAGUGCCCUAGAGUCCAUCCAGAGUGCCCGUGCUGCCCAGGCCCCGCACUGGAAGAGCCUCCAGCAGCAAGAUGUGACCGCUGUGCCGAUGAGCCCCAGCAGCCACUCCCCAGAGGGGAGGCCUCCACCUCUGCUGCCUGGGGGUCCAGUGUGUAAGGCAGCUGCAUCUGCACUGAGCUCCCUCCUGGACCAGCCGUGCCUCUGCCCCGCACCCUCUGUCCGCACCGCUGUUGCCCUGACAAUGCCGGAUAUCACAUCGGUUCUGCCCCCUGACGUCAUCCAACAGGAAGCGUCAGCCCUGAGGGAGGAGACAGAAGCCUGGGCCAGGCCACACGAGUCCCUGGCCCGGGAGGAGGCCCUCACUGCACUUGGGAAGCUCCUGUACCUCUUAGAUGGGAUGCUGGAUGGGCAGGUGAACAGUGGUAUAGCAGCCACUCCAGCCUCUGCUGCAGCAGCCACCCUGGAUGUGGCUGUUCGGAGAGGCCUGUCCCACGGAGCCCAGAGGCUGCUGUGCGUGGCCCUGGGACAGCUGGACCGGCCUCCAGACCUCGCCCAUGACGGGAGGAGUCUGUGGCUGAACAUCAGGGGCAAGGAGGCGGCUGCCCUAUCCAUGUUCCAUGUCUCCACGCCACUGCCAGUGGGGCCCUGAGAUUGGGAGGUUGGGAGGCCAGAGCCAGCAGGUGUCCGUAGAUGAGGAGCUGGGCUCUGCUGUCCCCACAGAUGACCGGUGGUUUCCUGAGCUGCGUCUUGGGCUUGGUGCUGCCCCUGGCCUAUGGCUUCCAGCCUGACCUGGUGCUGGUGGCGCUGGGGCCUGGCCAUGGCCUGCAGGGCCCCCACGCUGCACUCCUGGCUGCAAUGCUUCGGGGGCUGGCAGGGGGCCGAGUCCUGGCCCUCCUGGAGGAGGACUCCACACCCCAGCUAGCAGGGAUCCUGGCCCGGGUGCUGAAUGGAGAGGCACCUCCUAGCCUAGGCCCUUCCUCUGUGGCCUCCCCAGAGGACGUCCAGGCCCUGAUGUACCUGAGAGGGCAGCUGGAGCCUCAGUGGAAGAUGUUGCAGUGCCAUCCUCACCUGGUGGCUUGAAAUCGGCCAAGGUGGGAGCAUUUACACCGCAGAAAUGACACCGCACGCCAGCGCCCCGCGGCCGCGAUCCGGACCCCAAGCCCACGGCUCCCUCGACUCUGGGGCACGGAACCCCGCCCACUCCCAAUCCCCGCGCCCCGCCCCUCCCCUCGCUUCCCCAUUCGCCCCGCCCCCUCCCACCCGUGCUUCCCCCGCUCCACCCCUCACCUCACCUCGCCCCUGCCCCACCCAUCGCGCCCCGGCCCGUCCCAUCGAGGCCCAUGCAACCCACCCUCGGUCCCAUUCCGGCCCCUGCGCCCCGCUGCGCUUCGCUCCCCGCCCUUAAGCCGUUAGUAAACAUCGGUCAAACGAAA